This 90-nucleotide transfer RNA is filed under the name Ancylobacter defluvii. RNAcentral describes it as "tRNA-Thr". The record is from RNAcentral. Lineage: Bacteria; Pseudomonadati; Pseudomonadota; Alphaproteobacteria; Hyphomicrobiales; Xanthobacteraceae.
GAUGGCAUCGGUAAGGAAGUCGUGCCUGAGGGGCUUCGUGUGCUUCAGGCGGCCGGUGAGCGCUACGGGUUCGAACUCCGCUGCGAUCAC